Helianthus annuus (common sunflower) is the source of this 1144-nucleotide long non-coding RNA. RefSeq lists it as uncharacterized. NCBI's taxonomy places the organism in Eukaryota, Viridiplantae, Streptophyta, Magnoliopsida, Asterales, Asteraceae. The record is from RefSeq and is a predicted model, not a curated record. The transcript has 2 exons.
AAACCCAAUUCUGGGUUUUGUGUAUGUCGACCAGGAACAAGGAAAGGAGGGAAGAACCCUAACUCCUCAAAAAUCUUCAAAAUUGGAAGGGGAAUUCAGCUCAAACCCGAUGCAUGAACCCUAAUAUAUGAUCAUCAAGGCUUGCUGAACAUGUGGAAUCAUGUCAAGAUGGAUGGGAGCGUUGAAGUCCAACGGGCUAAGAAGACUCAAUCAAGUAAGCGAACGCAAAUACGGACGCGCAAGGUAAGUGAAUCCCGGACUUACACUUUAGAUGUAAAAUGUAUUGUAGUAUGAUGAUUAUUGUGAAACGUGUGAGAAAGUAUGAGACAAUGGAAGUAAUAAGGUAAGUUUACGGUAAAUGAGUCGAAAGUAGUUAAGAAAUAGUUUCUAUUAAGUGUAGGUAAGGAAGAAUCUUACGUGAUGAUAUUAUGCAUAAAGAUGGAAUAAGUAGUUAUACGCGUAGGUAUGGGUAUAAUUGUAAGUAAGCAAUUGGGACUCAUAGGAGACUUUGACUAUGAACACGUAAGUGUGGAUAAUUAUGUGUAUACAAUUUACAUGUAUAGGUGGGUGUGUUUAGGAUUUACAAGUAAUAUGUGUAGAAUGUAAAUUUGUAAGUUCAUAUGAGCUUUGUUUAUCUUAAAUGUAAAUUUACGAGUAGUGGUAUUUGGUACUAUGGAUUGUUGUAAAUGUUCAUAACGGGUCAAAGGAUGUAAAUAUAUUGGAAAGCAUGUUAUGUAGCGAUUCAUUACGAAUGGGUCAAAAGGUGAUAAGUUGGAUGUUUCAAAUGGAAGUAAAGAUGCUAAUAAGGUAACAUGUUAUGUUAACGGGUCGAACAAUGAUAGGUAAUUUAAAGGAUUUUAAAUUACUAUGUAUUAUGAACUAACAAUGUUGUUGUUAUGAAUGUUAGGUAAAUUUAUUGCUUGAUGCGGCGCACCCGGACCGAGCACACACGACGUUGACCUUAAUACGCUUCAAAUUCAAGUUGUUUCUUUUGAAUGGGUCGAAACGUCCUUUUGUGUAGCAAAUGUUAAACUAGUUAUUAGGAUGAUGGUAGUAGUUUGAGGUUAAACUUUAUUUUGAAUAGUGUCAUAGAAUGUAUCUUGAAUGGUUUCGUUAAAAAGCAGGAAAAUGUUCACUUUUCGAA